This 464-nucleotide ribosomal RNA is filed under the name uncultured bacterium. RNAcentral describes it as "partial 16S ribosomal RNA". It matches the Rfam family "Bacterial small subunit ribosomal RNA", at positions 338 to 795 of the family's 1533-position model. The record is from RNAcentral.
CCUACGGGCGGCAGCAGUAGGGAAUCUUCGUCAAUGGGCGCAAGCCUGAACGAGCAAUGCCGCGUGAACGAGGAAGGUCUUCGGAUCGUAAAGUUCUGUUGAAGGGGAAAAAGAGCGGAGAGAGGAAAUGAACUCCGAUUGAUAUUACCCUUCGAGGAAGUCACGGCUGACUACGUGCCAGCAGCCGCGGUAAUACGUAGGUGGCGAGCGUUAUCCGGAUUGAUUGGGCGAAAAGGGUGCGUAGGCGGCCUGCUAGGUCUGGAGUGAAAGGUACCGGCUCAACCGGGAUAGGCUCUGGAAACUGGCGGGCUAGAGAGCAGGAGAGGGCGGUGGAACUCCCUGUGUAGCGGUAAAAUGCGUAGAUAUAUGGAAGAACACCAGUGGCGAAGGCGGCCGCCUGGCCUGUUACUGACGCUGAGGCACGAAAGCGUGGGGAGCAAAUAGGAUUAGAUACCCCAGUAGUC